GGUUAUGCAUAUAUACAUGCAAGUUCUUUGGUUGAUGUCUUCCCACCUACCCAAUCUCUCAUGGACCAUUUUAAUUCCUCUGAAUGAAUGAGUGAGGCUUAGAUUUCCAAAACUUUUCAUGUUAUAAUUAUGUCUUCAUAAGCCUCUCUGAUUGACUUCAUAAUCUGGCUUUUUACUGACCUUGCUGCCUAUUCUUACCCAUGUUCCUUUCCUCAUUGUCUUCACCUUUACUGAAUCUGAGAACUCUCCUCAGAUGUGACUCAGGUUGACCACCUUCACUUGUGUGCCCUGCUCACCACCUUCUUCAAUCCUGUUGCUGAAAAGAUGAUCAGCAGACAUUAAUUUUCAGACGCCAGUCUACCUCGUUCAAGCCUGUAGCCAUUUCACACAGCCACUCAGAUGUUACAGUAUCAUGAAGGAAAAUGGUUGCCAGCAAGCAGUGUGGCCAGGUUAUCCAAGGAGACAACUGUCUCUGCUCCCCAGGGACCAGCUUCGGAAGCUUCCUUGUUGUCCAGAACUGCUUCACUGAUUCACUGUACAGGCUGGCCUUCCCUGCAGCAGUCAGCAUUUAAAAAUUUGUCUUCAGCCCUGCUUGUCAGCAGUCAGCUUCAGUUGGAAAAAGUAAUUUCAUUUUCAUAUUUGCUCAUUUCAUUCAUUCACUCAAUCAACAGACCAUCAAUCUCCUAUCAUAUGCCAAGAACUGUGUUUGGUUCUGGAGAUGAAAAAAUAAGAUAAUGGUUCCUUCUAGCACUUGAAGAGCUUACAAACUAGUGAUAGAGGAAGAUGUACCAAUAACUCAAUAAAAAUAAUGCUUUGA
Myotis lucifugus (little brown bat) is the source of this 817-nucleotide long non-coding RNA. RefSeq lists it as uncharacterized. The transcript is spliced from 2 exons. Lineage: Eukaryota; Metazoa; Chordata; Mammalia; Chiroptera; Vespertilionidae. The record is from RefSeq and is a predicted model, not a curated record.